This 401-nucleotide ribosomal RNA is filed under the name Francisella tularensis subsp. holarctica. RNAcentral's name for it is "partial 23S ribosomal RNA". It matches the Rfam family "Bacterial large subunit ribosomal RNA", at positions 1232 to 1632 of the family's 2925-position model. The record is from RNAcentral. Lineage: Bacteria; Pseudomonadati; Pseudomonadota; Gammaproteobacteria; Thiotrichales; Francisellaceae.
UGGAGCGUUCUGUAAUCCGAUGAGGGUGAAUUGAGAAGCUUGCUGGAGGUAUCAGACGUGCGAAUGCUGGCAUGAGUCACGUAAAAGAAAGUAGAUUCUUAUGGGCCGAAAACCCUGUGGGUCCUACGCAAUGUUAAUAAACGGAGGGUAAUCCGGCCCCUAGGGCGUAGCUGAAGAGUGAAGUCGCUGGGAAACAGGUUAAUAUUCCUAACAUGCUUAUAUGCACGACGGAGGGACGGAGAAGGUUCGGUAGGACUGGCGCAUGGAUGUCCAGGUGUAAGUAUGUAGUGAGGAAUGCUAGGCAAAUGCGGAGGUACGUUGAUCUGAGCUAAGAGACGAACGUAAACUGGUGUGGCUAAGGUAUGCAUACCAAUCCUAUCGGCAAAAGUUAUCAUUAUCAU